RNAcentral lists this small nuclear RNA (126 nucleotides) under Favites pentagona. RNAcentral describes it as "U2 snRNA". Lineage: Eukaryota; Metazoa; Cnidaria; Anthozoa; Scleractinia; Merulinidae. The record is from RNAcentral.
CCCUCCCCUAGGAGGGUGCUCCAAGGUUUCCCUCUCGGAGAUAUGGUGGGCAAUAUUCUGACGCCCGGGGGCCUGGAACCCACUGUAAAUCGACGCUAUUGAUUGAUGUGCCGACAUGGAGGCAAU